This 373-nucleotide ribosomal RNA is filed under the name uncultured organism. RNAcentral describes it as "bacterial SSU rRNA". It matches the Rfam family "Bacterial small subunit ribosomal RNA", at positions 526 to 896 of the family's 1533-position model. The record is from RNAcentral.
CAGAGGUCCCGAGCGUUGUUCGGAUUCACUGGGCGUAAAGGGUGCGUAGGUGGUGGGGUAAGUCUCGUGUGAAAGCUCGCAGCUUAACUGACGAAAAGUCACGGGAUACUAUUCUGCUGGAGGCUUGGAGGGGGGACUGGAAUACUUGGUGUAGCAGUGAAAUGCGUAGAUAUCAAGUGGAACACCAGUGGCGAAGGCGAGUCCCUGGACAAGACCUGACACUGAGGCACGAAAGCCAGGGGAGCAAACAGGAUUAGAUACCCUGGUAGUCCUGGCUGUAAACGGUGCACGUUUGCUGUAAGAGGAAUCGACCCCUUUUGUGGCGAAGCUAACGCGCUAAACGUGCCGCCUGGGAAGUACGGUCGCAAGAUUA